This 88-nucleotide transfer RNA is filed under the name Parcubacteria group bacterium CG07_land_8_20_14_0_80_35_11. Its description in RNAcentral is "tRNA-Ser". It matches the Rfam family "tRNA". Rfam says of the family: Transfer RNA (tRNA) molecules are approximately 80 nucleotides in length. Their secondary structure includes four short double-helical elements and three loops (D, anti-codon, and T loops). The record is from RNAcentral.
GGUGGGGUGCCUGAGUGGUUUAAAGGGACGGUCUUGAAAACCGCUGUGGCAGAGAUUGCCACCGUGAGUUCGAAUCUCACCCCCACCG